GGGCACUGGAAGGUCCNUAAACCGAAAGGGGCUCUGCCCGCCCGAGGAUGGGCCGGCGGCCGAUUAGGUAGUUGGUGGGGUAACGGCCCACCAAGCCCAUAAUCGGUACGGGCAGUGAGAGCUGGAGCCCGGAGAUGGACACUGAGACACGGGUCCAGGCCCUACGGGGCGCAGCAGGCGCGAAACCUCCGCAAUGCUNGAAAGAGCGACGGGGGGACCCCAAGUGCCGUGGUACAACCACGGCUUUUCCGGAGUGUAAGAAGCUCCGGGAAUAAGGGCUGGGCAAGGCCGGUGGCAGCCGCCGCGGUAAUACCGGCGGCCCGAGUGGUGGCCACUAUUAUUGGGCCUAAAGCGUCCGUAGCCGGGCUUGUAAGUCCCUGGCGAAAUCCCACGGCUCAACCGUGGGGCUUGCUGGGGAUACUGCAAGCCUUGGGACCGGGAGAGGCCGGGGGUACUCCUGGGGUAGGGGUGAAAUCCUAUAAUCCCAGGAGGACCGCCAGUGGCGAAGGCGCCCGGCUGGAACGGGUCCGACGGUGAGGGACGAAGGCCAGGGGAGCAAACCGGAUUAGAUACCCGGGUAGUCCUGGCUGUAAAGGAUGCGGGCUAGGUGUUGCUUGGACCUCGAGUCCAAGCAGUGCCGCAGGGAAGC
RNAcentral lists this ribosomal RNA (649 nucleotides) under uncultured archaeon. RNAcentral describes it as "bacterial SSU rRNA". It matches the Rfam family "Archaeal small subunit ribosomal RNA", at positions 165 to 812 of the family's 1478-position model. The record is from RNAcentral.